Molecule: long non-coding RNA, 304 nt
Organism: Anneissia japonica
Lineage: Eukaryota; Metazoa; Echinodermata; Crinoidea; Comatulida; Comatulidae
Exons: 3
Source: RefSeq, a predicted model, not a curated record
CCCGUCAUAUGAAGCUACAUGAUGAACACGAGAACUGAAGAAUGAUGUUUGUUGUCCACACAUGAAGUGGUAAAAGCAGCUCCUGGAGUUUGUCUACUAAUUUCCUGCUGUGAAAAAUGAUCUUGAUAACCGCUUGAAAGUAAGACAUGAAUAAUGCCAAUAAGAACAACCCUUCAGUAAUUGAUAGUCAACAAUAUUUCUCAGCAUCCGUGAAGCACAAAGAGAAACAAGAACCACUGACAGACCUGGACCCAGAUUACAUUGAAGAUGCUGAACUGUUGGCUGUUGCAGAUGUGCACUUCAG